RNAcentral lists this ribosomal RNA (375 nucleotides) under uncultured fungus. Its description in RNAcentral is "bacterial SSU rRNA". It matches the Rfam family "Eukaryotic small subunit ribosomal RNA", at positions 21 to 368 of the family's 1831-position model. The record is from RNAcentral. Lineage: Eukaryota; Fungi.
UGUAGUCAUAUGCUUGUCUCAAAGACUAAGCCAUGCAUGUCUAAGUAUAAACACCUUUAUACUGCGAAACUGCGAACGGCUCAUUAUAUCAGUUAUAAUCUACUUGAUCGUAUCCUCUUACUUGGAUAACCGUAGUAAUUCUAGAGCUAAUACAUGCAAAAGUUCCCGACUGGUGACGGAAGGGAAGUAUUUAUUAGGUCCAAAAUCAAUGCUGGCCAUUCCAAACUGGGGCAACCUGGGGUCAGGAAAGUUGAUGAUUCAUAAUAACUAAACGAAGCGCAGGGCUUGUCUCGGCGCUGAUACAAACGAGUUUCUGCCCUAUCAACUUUCGAUGGUAGUAUAGGGGACUACCAUGGUCGCAACGGGUAACGGGGA